GAUGAACGCUGGCGGCAUGCCUAAGACAUGCAAGUCGAACGGGAUGGCCCAAUGAUUACUCGGAAUUCUCUUGUGCUUGCACAAGAGUUGGAAGAGUAUGAUUUGGAUUUUCCAUCCAGUGGCAAACGGGUGAGUAACACGUGGGUUACCUGCCUCUAAGACGGGGGAUAACAGUUGGAAACGAUUGCUAAUACCGGAUGUGCUCUACGGAGUAAAGAAGCCCUUAAAGCUUCGCUUAGAGAUGGGCCUGCGGUGCAUUAGCUAGUUGGUGGGGUAAUGGCCUACCAAGGCGACGAUGCAUAGCCGAACUGAGAGGUUAAUCGGCCACACUGGGACUGAGACACGGGCCCAGACUCCUACGGGAGGCAGCAGUGAGGAAUAUUGGUCAAUGGGCGAAAGCCUGAACCAGCCAAGUCGCGUGAAGGA
Molecule: ribosomal RNA, 426 nt
Filed under: uncultured bacterium
Lineage: Bacteria
Description: bacterial SSU rRNA
Rfam family: Bacterial small subunit ribosomal RNA
Source: RNAcentral